RNAcentral lists this ribosomal RNA (377 nucleotides) under Engraulis encrasicolus (European anchovy). Its description in RNAcentral is "partial 12S ribosomal RNA". It matches the Rfam family "Bacterial small subunit ribosomal RNA", at positions 848 to 1395 of the family's 1533-position model. Lineage: Eukaryota; Metazoa; Chordata; Actinopteri; Clupeiformes; Engraulidae. The record is from RNAcentral.
GCUAAUGUACAACUAGCAUCCGCCGGGGAACUACGAGCACCAGCUUAAAACCCAAAGGACUUGGCGGUGCCUCAGACCCCCCUAGAGGAGCCUGUUCUAGAACCGAUAACCCCCGUUCAACCUCACCACUCCUUGCCCUUUCCGCCUAUAUACCACCGUCGCCAGCUUACCCUGUGAAGGAAAAGUAAGCGAAAUGGAGACUCUCCAAAACGUCAGGUCGAGGUGUAGCACACGGAGUGGGAAGAAAUGGGCUACAUUGCCUGAUUUAGGCUACUAACGGAAAGUCGCCUGAAAAGACUAUUUGAAGGUGGAUUUAGCAGUAAGAGGGGAAUAGAGUGCCCCUUUGAAGCCGGCUCUGAGGCGCGCACACACCGCCC